CCUACGGGUGGCAGCAGUGAGGAAUAUUGGUCAAUGGGAGAGAUCCUGAACCAGCCAAGCCGCGUGAGGGAAGACGGCGCCAUGGGUUGUAAACCUCUUUUGUCGGGGAACAAAACCCGGCACGUGUCCCUGACUGCGUGUAUCCGAAGAAAAAGCAUCGGCUAACUCCGUGCCAGCAGCCGCGGUAAUACGGAGGGUGCGAGCGUUAACCGGAAUUACUGGGGGUAAAGCGUUCGUAGGCGGGAUGUCAAGUCAAGGGUGAAAUCCCCGCGGUCAACGUGGGACGUGCCUUUGAAACUGGCAAACUGGAGAGUGUGAGAGGAUAGUGGAAUGCCAGGUGUAGGAGUGAAAUGCGUAGAUAUCUGGAGGAACAUCAGUGGCGAAGGCGACUAUCUGGCACAUAACUGACGCUGAGGAGCGAAAGCGUGGGUAGCAAACAGGAUUAGAUACCCUUGUAGUC
RNAcentral lists this ribosomal RNA (460 nucleotides) under uncultured bacterium. RNAcentral's name for it is "partial 16S ribosomal RNA". It matches the Rfam family "Bacterial small subunit ribosomal RNA", at positions 338 to 795 of the family's 1533-position model. The record is from RNAcentral.